GGCGGCAUGCCUAACACAUGCAAGUUGAGCGAUAACCGAGGGGCUUGCUCCUCGGGGACAGCAGCGCACGGGUGAGUAACGCGUGGAUAACGUACCCUGGGGUUGAGGAUAACCCACCGAAAGGUGGACUAAUACUGAAUGUGUUCCUGGAAGGUGAGCCUACCAGGAAGAAAGCGGGGCAACCCGCGCCCGAGGAUCGGUCCGCGUUCCAUCAGCUUGUUGGUGGGGUAACGGCCUACCAAGGCUACGACGGAUAGCUGGUCUGAGAGGAUGAUCAGCCACACUGGGACUGAGACACGGCCCAGACUCCUACGGGAGGCAGCAGUGGGGAAUAUUGGUCAAUGGGCGAAAGCCUGAACCAGCAAUGCCGCGUGAGUGAUGAAGGCCUUCGGGUUGUAAAGCUCUGUCAGUGGGAACGAAUAAGUCGAUUAAUACCCGAUGAUGACGGUACCCACAAAGGAAGCACCGGCUAACUCUGUGCCAGCAGCCGCGGUAAUACAGA
This 502-nucleotide ribosomal RNA is filed under the name uncultured bacterium. RNAcentral's name for it is "bacterial SSU rRNA". It matches the Rfam family "Bacterial small subunit ribosomal RNA", at positions 38 to 529 of the family's 1533-position model. The record is from RNAcentral.